AGUUUUGGCUGGUCCUCAUAAGUAAAACUGCUACCUUUUUACAAAAACCGCUAAAAGGUUUCUUACUUCAGUAAGGUUAAGGUUUGGGUUAGGUUUAGGUGUAGCACAGCUGACAUAAUAUUGUCAGUGAAAGGUCCUCACAAGGAUAGUAAGACAACCGUGCGUGUGUGUGUGUGUUUGUGUAUGAGGUGACCUGCCUAGUGCUGGAGCUUUUCGAAGUUUUAUUUCUCUCACAAUUCCAAACGAGGAAAAAGCGCGAAUGCUAAUCACAGCACAUGAGCAGUGUGCAGUCCGCGGUUCUGUGCUGUGUGACUCUGCGCCCCUUUCAAAGGUCGCCUGGCUGUGCUAAUGAGAUGGACGUCACGAGCAUAAACGCACACGAGCACCUUCCUUUCAAUACCUGACGGGUAGUCUAGCCUUUCAAAGUUCUUCUUCUGAGGAUACAAACCCUUUCUGGCACUCUCAGCCUGCAAUGUACCAGCAGAAAGCGCAGUCGGGGUGUGUGAGAGAAACAGUAGCUACACUGCUGAAGGCCAAGCCAGAGCGACAGCCAGCUGGAUCAGAGGCCAAACUGGCCCCCUUUCAAUAUAUCUUGUGUGCAGCCACUUCUCCAGCUGUCAAAUUGCAAGAGGAAACUCUCACGUACCUCAACCAGGGUCAGUCCUACGAAAUCCGUAUGCUUAACCUAAAACUGUUGGAGUGUACACAUGUAAGCAGCAAAUGGGUAAAGAGCACUGUCCGUGUAGUGUUUCAUGAUCGGCGCCUGCAAUACAGCGAGUACCAGCAGCUGGAGGGAUGGAGCUGGAACCGGCCAGGAGACAGAAUUCUGGAUCUUGAUACUACCCUCUCUGUGGGGAUAAUAGAGCCUCAAGCUAAUCCACUGCAGCUCAACUCUAUUGAGUUCCUCUGGGAUCCUGUAAAAAAUGCUUCAAUAUUUAUUCAAGUAAACUGUAUUAGCACUGAGUUUACACCCAGGAAACAUGGCGGAGAGAAGGGAGUUCCCUUCCGGAUUCAGGUAGAUACUUUCAUACAGAAUGAACAUGGAGAAUACCUGGAGCAUGUGCACUCUUGCAGCUGCCAAAUCAAAGUCUUCAAGCCAAAAGGAGCAAAUCGCAGGCUGAAGACAGACAGAGAGAAAAUUGAGAAAAAGAGUCUUCAAGACAGAGAAAAAUAUCAACCAUCCUUUGAAACUACUAUACUUACUGAGGUUGCACACAUCAGUGAAGGAGGCAAAUAUUUCAUCCUCUUCUGCAGUGUUCUCCCUGGCCUGAUGGUGCAUCCAUCAGCAGUGUUAGCAGCAGUCUGUCUCCCAUGUGCCACAUCUCAACUGCUCACGACUUCACAGAUGGAUGAUAGAGACUGCUCUCCGAACCAGCGGAGGGAGCUACUCCUGCCCAGCUGCUCUGCUCAGCUUGUGCCAUCACUCUCCCCUCAGGAAGCACAGGAGUGGCUCCACCGGAACAGGUUCUCAUCUUUCUGUAGACUUUUCUCCAACUUCUCAGGUGCUGAUUUGGUUAAGAUGAGCAGAAAUGACUUUGUUCAGAUCUGCGGUCCUGCUGAUGGGAUCCGCCUGUUUAACGCCAUUAAAGGAAGGUGUAUUCAGCCACGACUCACAGUGUAUGUUUCCCUACAGAAGAACAAAAAUCAGCCAAACAGCAAGCCAUGCAGUGAUGAUGUGUACCAUGCCUUGUCCUUGGAGCACUUAACUCUUUUUGAGCUCACAGAGAAGAUAGCAAGUCUAUACAGUGUUCCAGUGCAGCAAAUCUGCCAUGUUUACAGACAAGGGCCAAUGGGGAUAUACGUCCUGGUUUCAGAUGAGGUGAGGUGGCAGAGCUCAUGUCCCAGUGAACUAGACCAGUCAGGACAUUACGCUGAUAACCUGAUAACAAAGAAUGAUGUGACAAAUGGUAAAGAAUUUCACAGAGGAAACAAGAUUCAUAAUAAGUGCUCUAAAAGUAGAUGACUGUAUCUGUUUCUCAGUGAUGAUGGAUGAAAGUAACGAGGGGUACCAUGUUGUACUGAAGUGACCGAAGAUCACAUCUACAGGAACAUUUCAGGACUGGUGUGCUGAAUAUGACGCAUUAAACAAUGCCCCAUGUCCACAUAAUUCACAGUUCAAAGCAGAGAAACGCUUUUCUUUUUACAGUGCUCAGGUCAGCUGUGCUGUUCAUUGCUUAUUGUCUUCUGAAAAGCUGUAUAUGUGACUGAGGAGGAGUACUGUAACAUACUGCUGAUUUUUACUUUGUGGUUUGUUUGUGUUUUGUUUUCCUCCGUUCCAUUCCGUUACAGUUAUCCUUGUGGCCUGUGAGGAAAAUCUUCAAAAGAAACAAUUCUGUAGCUCUUUUAACUUACUGUAAUUAUUAGUGUUAGCAAUUAAUUUUUAUUACAAACACUGCAUUCUAAAUCAAAUGAACACUAUAACAUUUGUGUGCUAGGUGUAUGUAUGUUUUAUUAAGAUUAUAUUUUAGAGGUCAUUAGUACAUUUAUUUAUAAAACAGUUCUUAAAGCAGUUGUUACUGUUCAAAGGCUUAGGCCAUAUUGUAGCUUGUAUAUUUACACCAUGCUUUUUGAUCCUAUUGUUUGCUAUGUUCACCAAUGUAACUUUACUGAUUUUAAAAUAAAAUAUUUUGCUCUGUA
RNA transcript from Pangasianodon hypophthalmus (striped catfish), 2637 nucleotides. It is a transcript of the gene named transcription factor CP2-like 1, with no coding region annotated. NCBI's taxonomy places the organism in Eukaryota, Metazoa, Chordata, Actinopteri, Siluriformes, Pangasiidae. The record is from RefSeq and is a predicted model, not a curated record. The transcript has 16 exons.